This 5614-nucleotide long non-coding RNA is filed under the name Eucalyptus grandis. Its description in RNAcentral is "long non-coding RNA (EGRA_LNC002916)". The record is from RNAcentral. Lineage: Eukaryota; Viridiplantae; Streptophyta; Magnoliopsida; Myrtales; Myrtaceae.
CUUAGCCGAUCAACUCAGCAACUUCUUUCUCCUAUUCGACGUUCACGCACGCCUCAGCCAUCCCCUCUCCUCCGCUGCCUUUUCCCUCGCAUCUCUCUCUCUUCGUCUGCCCAUUCACCCCACCAAAGUUGCUCGGCAUCAUCAUCACCCCGUAAAUCCCACCGACUCAGCCGCUCCAUCCCGCUGCCGCCCACCGAUUCUCCACGUUCUUCUCCAAUUCCCUGCCAACGAAAACCACCACCUCUUGCUUCUUCGGUCAAAGCUCCAAACCGAAGCCUCUCCAUUGUUGACUCCGCUUGUUCCUUGCCAGCUUCAAGUUCGACGCCCUCUCCACCCGGCCUCGACCAGCAGUGAUUGAGUUGCUUCCUCCCACUGAAGGCCAAAGCCCACGUCUCCUCCUUCAAACCCCAGCCCACCAACAAAGACUCCAGCUGGUCUCCUUCCACCGAAGCUUUCAUUUUUCCCUGCUUCCUCGUGUCUUCAGCUGGAUCGGUCAACUCCAGCACCCCUCGAAGACCACCGAACUUCGCAACGUCAGCUGCUCCCAAGCCUUCGACCCACAGCCCAUCUUCAGCAAUUUCGUGGCCCAAUCCCACCGAGUGCAGAAGCCCAGCAGCUUCUUCUUUGCUCGAGCCUAGAAGCCUACACGUCCGGCCCAAGCUCAGCCGCCCAUCUCCUUUGAGUCGCAGCAGACAGCCCACAAUCCGGUCAAGUCUCAGCCCAUACAUUUUCUGUUCAGCCUAGUUUCGAAGCCCAAGAGAGAUCAGCCCAGUCUUGAGGCCAGCGAAGCAAUCCAAGCCCAAGUCUAAGCCCAGAAAUUUCUAUGGGUUUGCAAGGUUUCUUGGCCCGGUCCGUGUGCCCGUCAACACCGCCGAAAAUUCGGAUUUCGGCUGCCGUCGCGCCGUCAUCGUGGUGAACCAAUCUUCACUUUAAAACAAGUGAGUUUAACUCAUUAAACCCUACUUAGUAGGUUAAUGAUGCUUAGGGGUUGAUUAUAUUAAAUUAAGCAUGUUAGGUGGAUAGAUUAGAUUAGAUUAGAUUAGUUAAUUUAAUUAUCUGUCGAUGCAUAUUAGGUGGUUAGUUAGUGGCAUUAGCGAGUAGACUCGUUCUAUUAUUUAAUUAACGAACCUUGGAAAUUUUCCGGGUCCGUUUCAACGUCCAAUUCGGCAUUAUGGGCCUAAAUUGGAUUUAUUGCAUUUAUUUAAUAUUUUCCGUAAUUAUUUAAUUAAUUAUUUAUUUUCCGGAAGUUCAACCGGGAUGGUCGAUGACCGGAAUUUCGUGUUGUUUGCAGUGGUGCUUUCUGUUUAUUUAAUUGAGCACUGGUUUGUGAAUAUUGAGUGAAUUGGCGAUUAUGUGGGAAUUUAUCCCAAAAUCGAUUAGUGUCGGUAUUCAAUUGAAAACAGAUCAUGAAAGGUUAUGAGUGGACCUAAGAAACCGCCGAAGUAUGGCUGUGCCAGUUGGGCCGAGAUUCGCCACCAACUUUGGAAUCGAUCGUGCCCAUUGGGCUGUGAUUUACCACCUGUUGGAGGUCGUGCCCACUAGGGCCAUUGUCCACCACCAAUUAAAGGUCGUGCCUUUGAGGCCUCGAUUCACCACUUGAUAGAGGUCGUGCCUAGUAGGGCCAUGAUCUGCCACCUAUUAAAGGUUGUGCCCACUAGGCCGUGAUUACCACUUAAAGAUAGGUUGUGUCCUUUGUAUCGCAACCUCUUCUUUCCGUUCGGGGGAAAAGAAAAAAUGGUUUAGGGGUAUUUGCCUAAAGAGGCGGACCAAUGGCCCUGGAUUAGGCGCAGACUCUCCUAAGCCCAUACCUCGCGUAACGUUGGAUUUUGUUUUUUAGUUCUUAACAACCUAUGUAUUUCUAAGAGUCGCCACUAGCCUAUUGGGGUCGGCUAGAAACCAAUCAAGACGUGGGAGUGUUGUCUCGAUUCCUACGCAACCAGAUAUUUCUAGAAACGGGGACUUGUUUACGCCAAUAUUUCUAUUAGCGCCCUUGCAGUACCACUAACUUGGAAGAUUAUUUAUCUGAAUGGCCACACAAUCUUGAUUACCAAUUAUAAUCUUUAUGAAACCACUAAGUGUCCAUGCAAAUGUUUCUGUAGUUUUUUUUUAAUGUCUAUACUAAUCCUAACAUAAUUUAAAAGAGAAAUUUACACUCCAAUUAAUGAAAAGCGGCGCGUAAGUAAACAUCCAAGAAAUUGAAAUGACUUGAAAAUAAAUGCGGAAUACAAAUCAGGCAAAUAAUAUUACAUGACCUUGUUAUCACGCCCCGAGACAGGACCUCCAUGAGCGAAAUGGGAAUUUAAAUAUGCAUGAAAUUACUCUAAAUAAUUUUAAUCUACGCAAAAUAGAUUAUUUACAAAAAUGGUUAUAAAAUACCAAAAUAGCAUUAAAUUAGGAAAAUGACCUUUUAAAAUUAGGAAAAUUUCAUAGAUGUCAUUUCUAUCAUAAUUUGGUGCCAUCCAUCAUUUUUAUAAUUUUUUUGAAAUUUUCAUUUUUUUUUUCAUUUUUUAAAUUUUUAUUUAAAAAUAAUUCCCUAAACCGAUAUAUGCUAAUUUAUACUAAUAUGGAACUGGUCAGUACAUGAAUAUAGCAAGAACCGAGCUCAAAUCGACCGUUUCAAGAUCGAAGUUUGGUUUGCACAUUUCGACGAACACUUGGUGUGCAUCAAAUCACCCCAAACCAGCUUCCUCGGGCCAUGUUUGCGACCUUCAAUCUCAACCCAUAAGCAAUUUCACAUGGAACUAAAGUAUCAAGAUUAUACUACCACAUGCAAGGAGUAAGAUUAGAUAGAAAUCACAGCUUAAAACACAAAAUAACUAAGUUGAAAUCAGUCUCAAAUAUGUGGGUUGAGCUGAUUUUGAAAUCUGGGUUUGAACCCAAGUCAAGUAAAUAGGUUCCAUGCCCAUAUUCAAGCCUCGACACUCAUCAUAUACGAGAUCUAAGGGAAACAUUACUUGAUCCGAGUGAAAGUAGGUUACAUGAGCUUUCAAAUGCAACAAACAUCAUAAAGAAUGACCAACCGAACAUAUCAAAAUGACUUCUCCAAGAAGCACACAUGCAAAGUCCACACUGACCAGCCAUGAAUCAAUGUGGAUGGGCUUGGUUUUGGCUCAAGUCGUGGAAGAUUUCAUGGUUUACCCAGGGGUUUAAAGACCAAACCAAGCCAACCUCAGCAUCAUUGGUACUCCCGUAUAACAUUCAUCAAGCUCGUGAAGACAAGUAAUGCACGAAAAUAGACAUAACAAAUCAAACAUGCAAGACUCUUGAAGAGAUUUCAACACUUAGAAAAAUUCUGAAAAAUUCUAGCCUCAAAAAUCAGUUUUCUGGACUGGUCUUGCUCUUGAUUUUUCAUGGUUGAAACAUGUUCAAAAUUGACCAAAAAUACAUCUAUGAUUCUUACCUUGCUUCCUACUUUCUUUUUCAAGUGACUCUUGGCCGAGGAAGCUGAGGAAUUAUCCUCGGGGGCCCAUGGAAGUUGGCUUCUUCAACUAGAAAAUGAGAUCUGCAAAGAAAGAACUGAUAACGAAGGUUUUUGUUGGUCUCUAAAAUUAGACUUUAGGGCCUCUUUUGUUGAAAAAACUUAACACCAAACCAAACUAUAUAUAUUUUAGUUUGGGGUGAAAGUUAAGCUUUUCCUCAUUUGUCUCUCAAUUUUCUCAAAAACACUCGCUUUCCCUCACCUGUGACCAACCGGGCUCGACACUACAGAAAAAAUUUUGGACUUUCUUAGCCUGCCAGGAGGGUGGUUUUUGGGGGGCUUUAGGAGAUCUUCCCAAACUCCAUUUGGGACGUGCGACCUAUGGAUGGAAAGAUCUUUGAGUGUAGUUUCACUCUCUAGUUGAAGAUUUUGGCUAAUUUUGGCCGCAGGUGUGUGAAAGUUUCACUUCUCUCUCUCAAAGUCGAUCUGAAAUUUCUGGGUUUUUUCUUUCUGGAGUUGCUUCUGAGGGCCUCUUUGAGGGACAACCAUGAGCUCUCCCCUCUCCUUCUCGUCUCCUCUAUUUCCUGCCUCAAAAGAGCAUGCUUCAUAGAUCUUGUCCACUAAAUUCAUCAAUCUCUUGGUCAGCUUUUGUCCACCUACCAAGUCUACCAACUGAGCUAGUUCACCCACUCUCUGACUUAAGCCAAUUUUUCAACUUCUGCAACUGUUGAGUGUGCGGAUUUUGCUACGAUUUUCCCGUGCUUUCAGCAGCUUAUUCCUGACCAAUUUUUGUCCACUUGUACUACCAAUAAUGGUCUUCCAUCACGUGCAAAGAUCAAGCUAAAUGGGUGGCUGAGUGGGAUAUGGUGGGGCCACCAAUAUGCCUACUUAACAGCUCCGAAUUAAGACUUAACCGUGGGUUGAGUUUUGGUAGCUGGUUUGGGCACUUUAAUCCAUCAAUUUGGCUGCGGUUUUUGAUCAAUUAACAAUCUUAUAUAUAGUAAUUUGAUAUCUUGACCAUUUUUCGCAAUUGUGCCCACCCAAUUUUGCAAGAAAGUCCCUCAAAGUUAACCAUUUCAUUAUCCGAAAAUACCCAAUUCAAGGCAAAUUUGGUCCUUUUGGCCCAAUUUGAUUGAUUCGACCUAGCCCAAGUUCAAUUUCAACUUAAUUCGUGACCAAGAUGAUGAUUUAAGGGUUCAGGCGAAAUUUUGCGAAAUUUGCGAAUUAGUCCCUCAACUUUUGAAAAUUGCAUUUUGGCCCCAACUUGCCAUUUUAAUUAGUCACAUUUAGAUCAUUGGCCCCAACUUGCUUCUUUCUUUUGUUUUUCUUUUCUCUUUUUUAUAGGAAAAACAUCUUCCAUUAAAAAAAAAAACUAUACUAAAUACUUAGAUAAUCUAUAUGCAAGAAUUUGACAUGAAAUAUUUUUGUGGAAAAACAAAUUUCCAUUUUUCGAAAAAUGAUUUUUUUGGCAAAAAAUUUAGGUGUCAACACUUUGGACCGUGAAUUAUAGCUGAGGAUUGAAUAGAUCCUGCUCGUUGAGCCGUGAGUAAGAAUUGAGAUUGAAUAGUUGAGAUAAUCAUGUGUGGUCUUGAUGACAUGUAAUUGACUAAGUCGAUUGAUCGAUGGUUCGAUCUAUUUGAGUAGAUGAUGUGAUUGUCAUGUUUAUGAAUUGAACUGACUUGUAGGAAGAACUGAGGCCAAGGUAAGUCCUCUGACCCGUGAUUGUGCUUAGGCAGCCCUUAGGGCAUAUUUUCUUCCUAAUCGGGUCUUAGGGGGUAGAACUCACUGAGACGUUGUCUCAUUGGUUAAUGUAUAACUAUUUUCAGGUCCUUAGAUGGUGUUCAUGGAGAACUUGAAGUCUCGAAGUUUGGGAAAGCGAAGGAAACAAAAUCGACAAACCUGUCUAACUCUCUAGUCAUAGGACAGUCCCUUUUUUAUUAAGCCGAUAUUUUUGUAAAUGACCUGAUGUGAUAAAUAAACCUGUAUGUUUAUAAAAGGUUGAUUUUGGUUUGAAAAAUAUAUGGCCUUACUAUCAUAUCCCAUUGUUUUAUUGUCGGGGGAUUCAUAUCUGCUUCCGCAUGCGUAUAUUAAAUUGAACAAGGUUGGCGAUGCAUCCUGGACAUCGCUAUUAUAUUGACCAAGCAAGGAUGGGCAUGUUCUCAGAGGAUCGAGGCGUGACAUUAUCCUUCUUUCUCG